CGUUGUAUUAGGUGCUUUCCAGCCAACGUUAGGAGCUCCUCGGUACAGCUCCGAAGCGCACUUGUAGUGUUCCAGUAAACAGGGCGUCGAGCCCUCGCGUUACCUUCUCCUGAAGCACCCCCGCAUUUGCGGGGCUUCGAGCCUUGACAGGUGUGGGAGAGAAAGAAAACUAUUUUGAAUUACUUGUCAGUUGACGGUUACCGGCAUUCGUUUGUAGUACGUUUCAACAAUGGAAUGGAGGUAACAAGAUGUAUUGUGUCCAAAUCUCUUAUAGGGGUGAAUUAUUCAACCUUGAAUUGGACGAGGAAGCUCAUAAAAGAGCAGAGAUUGGUAUGUAUAUUAUUCCUUAAUGUUGUUAAGUGAUAUUCACUAUAUUGAUAAUUCUAAUUUUAUUUUUUAAGAUCCCAAAUUUCUGGAACAAUUCGUACAAAAUUAUAUAUCAAAUAAUAAUGAUGCGAAAUCUAACUAUCAGACAAAAGCAGAGAAUGAAUUCGUCCAAAAUUAUUUGUGUAAUGAUGAUGGGAGGGAUGAUGCAAAUCACAGAGAUGAAAGAACUAACUAUCAGCCAAGAGCAGAGAAUGAAUUCGUCCAAAACUAUAGAUCUAAUGAUGAUCGGAGAGAUGAUGCAAAUAUUGUUAAUCAGCCAAGAGCGACUGAACCGAAGAUAAGUUUUCGAACUUACAGGUAAAAUAAGAUUUAAUUCUUUAUUUUCCAGGACAACACUUGGACUUAUAAUAUGGUUCUCUGUAUCAUAAAAUCGAUGGAGAGCCAUCAGGAUGAUUUAAAUCAUCCAAAAAAAGGAAAGAUGUCUUUGAAAACAUAACAAAUGACAUGCUCAGCCAGGGAUUUUCUGUGAAUAGCACAAUGAUUCAAAAUAAAUGGAAAUCCCUGGUUCGGAGCUAUAAGAUAGCUAAAGAUAAUAAAGGUCGAACUGGAAGGGCCCCUAGUCGAUUCCAAUUUUAUCAAGAGAUGGAUUCGUUUCUAGGGAAAAAAAGCUAGCAAUAAAUGUACUUUUUCCCUAGAAAGUACAGAAUUCAUUGAUGAAGACCGUUCUAAUACUGCCACUUCAGCCGAAGUAAUAACUCCAGGACCUUCGACUAGUGGUCCUUCCACAUCGGCAAUCUCCAGUGGUCCUUCGGUGGAAUUUACAAGCAGCACUCCUUUUCAUGCUGACCCCAGUACUCCACUCAAUAGAAAAAGAUGCCUAAAAACAAUCAGAGAAGAAAACAAAAUGAAGAGGCAUAGGGAAAAUAUUGAGAUGGAGAGGGAGAAAUUGGAGGUUGAAAAACAAAGAUUGCAAUUGGAUCAGCAGAGGUUGGAAGUAGAAAAACAAAAAAUUGAGCUAGAGGAAAAAAGAUUCAAUUGUUGCAGGAGAUGGCAAGUAAAAAUAAUAACAAUGUUCAAAUAUAAAUUAAUGAAUGAUAUAUUUUUCAUAUAAUUAUUUUAAGAAUUUAUUA
This is a long non-coding RNA of Harmonia axyridis, 1457 nucleotides long. RefSeq lists it as uncharacterized. The transcript has 4 exons. NCBI's taxonomy places the organism in Eukaryota, Metazoa, Arthropoda, Insecta, Coleoptera, Coccinellidae. The record is from RefSeq and is a predicted model, not a curated record.